RNAcentral lists this signal recognition particle RNA (301 nucleotides) under Carlito syrichta (Philippine tarsier). RNAcentral's name for it is "Metazoan signal recognition particle RNA (ENSTSYG00000033217.1)". It matches the Rfam family "Metazoan signal recognition particle RNA". Rfam says of the family: The signal recognition particle (SRP) is a universally conserved ribonucleoprotein. It is involved in the co-translational targeting of proteins to membranes. The eukaryotic SRP consists of a 300-nucleotide 7S RNA and six proteins: SRPs 72, 68, 54, 19, 14, and 9. Lineage: Eukaryota; Metazoa; Chordata; Mammalia; Primates; Tarsiidae. The record is from RNAcentral.
ACCAGCCACUGUGGCACAUGCCUGUAGUCCCAACUACUCGGGAGCCUGAGGACAGAAGAUGCUUGAACUCAGGAGUUCUGGGCUGUAGUGCAUUUUGCUGAUAGGGUGUCCAUACUAAGUUUGGCAUCCAAACUUAGUGACCUUUUGGGAUGGGGGAACCACCAUGUUGCCUAAGGAGGGGUGAACCUGCCCGGGUCACAAACGGAGCAAGUCAAAAUUCCUAUGCUGAUCGGUAGUGGGAUGGUGCCUGUGAACAGCCACUGCGCGUCACUCUGGGCAAUGUAGCAAGACCUUGUCUUUU